AGCCCCCCCGAGGACAGCCUGGAGACAACGUCCACGGCAGGGGGACGAGCCUACAGAAGCACCAAGGGCCCAGGGAGAAGGCGCUGGGCAGAAGGUGCCUGACCACACGCACAACCUUUCAACACGGGCACCGGCUCCAGCUCUUCUCCUGUGCGGCUGGCAUUUCCAAGCAAGGUCUCAGAUGUGCUGCUAACCCUCUGAUACUAGCAGUCAUCGUAAGAGAACAGGCUUAGAAUAGAAACCGAAAACAGAAGAGGCUCUCUAAACAGAAACUGGAGAGUCCUGACUGAGCCCUGACUGUAUGCCAGGCGCAUCCACUCACUGAGCCGCGUAAGAAUUCUGCGGGGAGGAAUUCUCCUUCUCACCCUCAUUUCAUGGGCGAGGAAGUCGAGGCACAGAGAGCUUCAGACAAAUCCAAUGCUCAAAGUCAUAAGAACAGUGAAUUUUUCCUCACUGAAUCCGGAGGCCUAGAAGGGCCCCUCCUGUCUAGGUGCUGAAGAGGCCAAAAGAUGGCAGAGAAGCAACUGUUCUCCUACGCCCUGUUCAGCUGGCCACAGGACAUCCUGUCCAGCUCACCAAACCAAGCGGGCAGGAGCAAAGGUGCCGCAACUGGAAGGGGCCCAGCCCCGGCCGCGUGCGGACGUGAGUUCUGAGCGGUGUGGUGCUGUCGCGGGAUCGGACCCUGGCGUUCCCAGCUUUGUGCAGCCCACAAAGAAGGGGGCCUUUAACGCUCUCCCGAGAAAGCUUCACCCUGGGACAUGUCAGGUCCCACAGAUGGCAACACGACGAAAUCCGGCAGGGUGGGAGCCUCAGGUACCAGAAACUCCAAAAUGAUUUAAAAAUGAGCCCUCCUGGAGGACUUCCCUGGUGGCACAGUGGUUAAGAAUCCGCCUGCCAAUGCACAGGUCACGGGUUCGAGUCCUGGUGCGGGAGGAUCCCACAUGCCGCGGAGCAACUAAGCCCAUGCGCCACAACUACUGAGCCCGCGUGCCUAGAGCCCAUGCUCAGCAAGAAACAGAAGCCACCGCAAUGAGAAGCCCGCACACCUCAACGAAGAGUAGCCCCCGCUCACCGCAACUAGAGAAAGCCCGCGCGCAGCAACAAAGACCCAAUGCAGCCAAAAAUAAAUAAAUAAAUAAAUUUAUUUUUAAAAAAAUUA
Long non-coding RNA from Balaenoptera ricei (Rice's whale), 1159 nucleotides. RefSeq lists it as uncharacterized. NCBI's taxonomy places the organism in Eukaryota, Metazoa, Chordata, Mammalia, Artiodactyla, Balaenopteridae. The transcript is spliced from 2 exons. The record is from RefSeq and is a predicted model, not a curated record.